Long non-coding RNA from Pezoporus flaviventris, 689 nucleotides. RefSeq lists it as uncharacterized. The transcript is spliced from 3 exons. NCBI's taxonomy places the organism in Eukaryota, Metazoa, Chordata, Aves, Psittaciformes, Psittacidae. The record is from RefSeq and is a predicted model, not a curated record.
AGCUUCAGUGUUUCUAGUGACUUUGCUGCUGCAGACUCUAACCAGGAAAAUACUGAAAACCUCUUGAUAGCCUUCAUGACAUGAUGUGAUGUGGCUUGUUCUUCAGGUGGCACCAUGUCUUGAAUGCAGACAUCUGCUGCCAGUGACUACACCCACUUGCAUUGGAUGGGAGUCACCAAUAGCUCCACAGGUGCAGCCCCAAACCAACAUCUGCAUAAAGGUGUGUGAGGUCACAGAACCCCACGGAACCCUCCAGCAGAGGCACCGGGAGACGACAGCUGCCCCACGGAACACAAGCUACCGGUGGAGGAGGCAAGAGCAGCUCCUCUGGUGGUUCCCGUCUUGGUGUCUCGGAGCCGGUGCCGCCUGUGGACACAGGAGCGUGGAAGGAGGUGGCCGUGACGCCCUGUUCCAUGGCCCACGUUGAGCUGUGACCCCUCGCAUGCUCCACCUCCGGACCAAAGGCACUGAGGAAGAGCAGCCCGUGAGGGACCUCCCCGAGCCGGCUGGGCAGAGGCUGGUCCCGCCACAGCGACUCCCGGAGCACCCCUGGGUGCCCAGUGGCCAUGGGCACGAUGCUGCCGCCAUCCCAAAGCCGUGGCGGUCGCUCUGGAUUUGCCCAUUGUGACGGGGCCCCCACGGUGAGCGUGGGCUCUUUAAGGAGGGAGAGCCCUGCAGUAACCGGUGCA